RNAcentral lists this ribosomal RNA (593 nucleotides) under uncultured bacterium. RNAcentral describes it as "bacterial SSU rRNA". It matches the Rfam family "Bacterial small subunit ribosomal RNA", at positions 338 to 950 of the family's 1533-position model. The record is from RNAcentral.
CCUACGGGAGGCAGCAGUGGGGAAUAUUGGACAAUGGGCGAAAGCCUGAUCCAGCAAUGCCGCGUGAGUGAUGAAGGCCUUCGGGUCGUAAAGCUCUUUUACCAGGGAUGAUAAUGACAGUACCUGGAGAAUAAGCUCCGGCUAACUCCGUGCCAGCAGCCGCGGUAAUACGGAGGGAGCUAGCGUUGUUCGGAAUUACUGGGCGUAAAGAGUACGUAGGCGGUUAUUCAAGUCAGAGGUGAAAGCCCGGGGCUCAACCCCGGAACUGCCUUUGAAACUAGAUAACUAGAGUCUUGGAGAGGUUAGUGGAAUUCCGAGUGUAGAGGUGAAAUUCGUAGAUAUUCGGAAGAACACCAGUGGCGAAGGCGACUAACUGGACAAGUACUGACGCUGAGGUACGAAAGCGUGGGGAGCAAACAGGAUUAGAUACCCUGGUAGUCCACGCCGUAAACGAUGAUAACUAGUUGUUCGGUCACUUGGUGACUGAGUGACGCAGCUAACGCAUUAAGUUAUCCGCCUGGGGAGUACGGUCGCAAGAUUAAAAACUCAAAAGAUAAUAGACGNNGAGAGCGACGAGACACACGGAGGUAGAG